UGGGGAAUCUUGGACAAUGGGCGCAAGCCUGAUCCAGCCAUGCCGCGUGGAUGAUGAAGGCCUUAGGGUUGUAAAAUCCUUUCGCCGAGGACGAUAAUGACGGUACUCGGAGAAGAAGCUCCGGCUAACUUCGUGCCAGCAGCCGCGGUAAUACGAAGGGGGCUAGCGUUGUUCGGAUUUACUGGGCGUAAAGCGCGUGUAGGCGGACUUGUAAGUUGGGGGUGAAAUCCCGAGGCUCAACCUCGGAACUGCCUCCAAAACUACAAAUCUGGACCUAAGUAGAGGCAAGUGGAAUUGCGAGUGUAGAGGUGAAAUUCGUAGAUAUUCGCAGGAACACCAGUGGCGAAGGCGACUUGCUGGACUUAUGGUGACGCUGAGACGCGAAAGCGUGGGGAGCAAACAGGAUUAGAUACCCAAGUAGUCCCUGAGCGGGCUGGCAAGGCGCAU
RNAcentral lists this ribosomal RNA (447 nucleotides) under uncultured bacterium. Its description in RNAcentral is "bacterial SSU rRNA". It matches the Rfam family "Bacterial small subunit ribosomal RNA", at positions 355 to 825 of the family's 1533-position model. The record is from RNAcentral.